CCCAGAGACUCAUGAAGUGUCUCGGAGGUUGCCCUCUGCCCCCCAGCCCUGCUCCCAGCCUGCCUUCCCAGGCCUGGGCCUCUGGCAUCUGCUUUAUCAGGAUUCUUAAGAGGGAUAGCUGGUUUCUGUUCCAUGCCUGCUCCCUCCUCUCUUGCCUGCGUAUCUGCUCUGGUUUUAAAUAGCUUAUCUGAGCAGCUGGACAACCACAUGGGCUUAUAUGGCGUGGGCUGCAUGUCCCUUUAGCCCUGUCCCCGGCACCUGCCAAAAUAGCACCCAGCACCCCCCGCGCCCCCGCCGCGUCUCCGGCUGCACAUCCCUCCCACCGCAGGGCUUGGCUUAGGGGGCCUCAGCCCACAGGCCUGCUUAAAGCCCUCUCCAUCCCCUGCCCUCACCCAGUCCCCGCUGAGGCUGAGCAGAUACCUCGGGAUCUGUCGGCAGCUCCUGGUUUGAGGGAGAGCAGGGACCAUGUCGGACAUAGAAGAGGUGGCAGAAGAGUACGAGGAGGAACAGGAAGAAGAAGCUGUGGAAGGUACGGAGCUCGGGCAGAGGGAGGGCCAGAAAGGACAGAUCCCGGGAAUCCAGUAUCAUGUCACUGCCCCUCACUCCCAGCUGAGCCAAGAUCCAUGGCUCCUAAAUGCGAAUCAGUCCUAGCCUUGGUUGCUCAGGUCUUAGGCAAAAGGUUUAAACCUGUCUCGACUGUCCAUCAUUUUGUUCACACAGAAUCGCCACUUUUCCAAUUAAUUAUUUUUUUGAUUUUUUUCUCUAAUUUUUUUUCAACCAUGGUAAGUUUUAAAUGCAUGUACAAGUAGCAAAAAUAGAAUUACGCACCACCCUGCUUCCCCAAAUGCCCAGCAUCUGGCUUUAACAAUCAUCAACUAUGGCCAAUCUUUUUUCAUCUAUGCUUCAUCUCCCCUCACUUAUUUUAUUUAUUUAUUUUUAUUCUUAUGUUAAUCCC
Non-coding RNA from Leptonychotes weddellii (Weddell seal), 955 nucleotides. Lineage: Eukaryota; Metazoa; Chordata; Mammalia; Carnivora; Phocidae. The record is from RefSeq and is a predicted model, not a curated record.